This is a long non-coding RNA of Ananas comosus (pineapple), 675 nucleotides long. RefSeq lists it as uncharacterized. The record is from RefSeq and is a predicted model, not a curated record. The transcript has 2 exons. NCBI's taxonomy places the organism in Eukaryota, Viridiplantae, Streptophyta, Magnoliopsida, Poales, Bromeliaceae.
GCCUUGCAACUAAAAUGCACCACGUGUCCAUCUCUAAGCUCUCCACCAUCUCUGAGCUCUCCAUCUCCCACCACGAGCUCGAUCUCCACCACGAGCUCUCCAUCUCUGAGCUCGCUCGCUCGCGUCGACCUCGUCGCUCUCUACUAUCAUCGCCUCCUCCUCCACCUCCCUCUAAUGGCGCCACUCCCUCAAGCUCCAAACCCUAGCUCCACAAGUCUCCUCCUUCCUCCUCCAUCGUAGGCGCGUCCAAUCCUUUUCCUUCUCUGCUUCUCAGGAAGGAGUGCCCUAACACCGAGUGUGGGACGGGGACGUUCAUGGCCAACCCAUAAUUUCUAUUGCUCGUGCCCUAACAUUGAGUGCGCUCGAUCGCCAUUACUGUGGCAAGUGUGGGCUCACCUGCGUCUACCAGAACAAAGAUUGAAGCAAUAAGCAUGAUUUGAUGUUCGCAUUUGAAGAAUGCUUAGCUGGAGCUUUUCACUUUCCUUUUUCUUAACUUUCGAAUAUUUGGGAUUCAAAUAAAUUUUCUAUUGCAUUGAUUUCUAUUAGAAUGUAAAAAUUUGUUUUGUUUGCAUUUUAUCACUGCUCUAGAUCAUUGCUUAUUGUUUUGUUUCAAGAAUGAUUGUAUCAUCUUAUUGCAAUUUAGUAAUAUGACUCUUAUUUUUUUUACGGAUAUUA